RNAcentral lists this ribosomal RNA (455 nucleotides) under uncultured bacterium. RNAcentral describes it as "bacterial SSU rRNA". It matches the Rfam family "Bacterial small subunit ribosomal RNA", at positions 340 to 786 of the family's 1533-position model. The record is from RNAcentral.
UACGGGAGGCAGCAGUGGGGAAUAUUGCACAAUGGGCGAAAGCCUGAUGCAGCUAUGCCGCGUGUAUGAAGAAGGCCUUAGGGUUGUAAAGUACUUUCAUCGGGGAGGAAAAACAAAACUAAUAAUUUUAUUUCUUGACGUUACCCGAAAAAGAAGCACCGGCUAACUCCGUGCCAGCAGCCGCGGUAAUACGGAGGGUGCUAGCGUUAAUCAGAAUUACUGGGCGUAAAGAGCACGUAGGUGGUUUUUUUAAGUCAGAUGUGAAAUCCCUGGGCUUAACCUAGGAACUGCAUUUUGAAACUGAAAUACUAGAGUAUCGUAGAGGGAGGUAGAAUUCUAGGUGUAGCGGUGAAAUGCGUAGAUAUCUGGAGGAAUACCUGUGGCGAAAGCGGCCUCCUAAACGAAUACUGACACUGAGGUGCGGAAGCGUGGGGAGCAAACAGGGAUUAGAUACC